AAAAAAUUCAAAUUAUAUUAAAAUAUAUUGCACUUAUCUUCAAGUUACUUGAUUUUCUUAAAGUGUAUUUCCAUACCGACUGGUAGACAAUGGGUUAAUCGUUCUAGUUUAUUCUUGACCGGAAAUUAUAGUUUUUCUCAGUUUAGUUACUGGCUAGCACGAACAGGAAUUCUUCUAUAUUUCUUUCAGGAAAGAAACCCCAAAUGUAUUCUUUUUGUUGGCAAAUCCAUAAGGCUUGCUCCGCCAUCCUGGCUUGCUUUUUGCUGGUCUCGCGGAACUAUCCUGGCCACGUAGUGCGUGUCCCUCUCCCUUUUAGGGAGAGAGAAUAGAUCAUUAAUUAUCUUAUUUACUCCGUCCGUAUCUAUUUUUAUAUAUUCUUCCUUAUAUGUAACUUAUUUAUAUUUACUAUAUUAAUUAUUCCUAUUUAUUUAUAUCGAACUGAUUCGAUUAAGGGGUUAUGAAUAGGCGGGCAUAAGCUAGUAAUGAUACCAUGAAAAAGUAUGAAGUUAACGUACAAAUAAUAAGGAAGACAAAACAAAAGGAAGGAAAAGGUUCGUAACAGUUUAAACAAUCAAAAAUUUGCACUUAAGCUGUUUUCUUACACGGCAACUACACCAAUGCUACAUGACAACUACAUAUCAAUGUAAUUAUGAAUUACUUAUCAAAGAACAAAAAGAAAGCCCAAGAAAUAUUGUUUUUCGGGCUUUACCGAGAUUUCAAAGUCAAAAUAUUGGAGAAAAAAUACCACCAAAAAUGAUAGAUUUUGAUUUUGAUGUUUAAAGCCCUAUGUCUUAAUUUUUCCAGAUGGCCCAGAUCUAUCAGACAAAAUCGGUUUGAUUCGAAGCGUAAAGCAAAUCUUGGAUAAUUUACUAUUAAAAAUUUUACAAAUUACAAUUGGUAAGCUUCGGUUUUUGGUUUCUCUUUGUUUAGCAUAAUAUAUGUAUGUUCAUGAAACAAAUGUUCUAGGUUUGAUUUAUAAAAUAUGCAAUAAAUUGGAUAUCAUAUCUAUAAA
Long non-coding RNA from Drosophila pseudoobscura, 1012 nucleotides. RefSeq lists it as uncharacterized. Lineage: Eukaryota; Metazoa; Arthropoda; Insecta; Diptera; Drosophilidae. The record is from RefSeq and is a predicted model, not a curated record. The transcript is spliced from 2 exons.